This 127-nucleotide small RNA is filed under the name Pantoea stewartii. RNAcentral describes it as "RtT sRNA". It matches the Rfam family "RtT RNA". From Rfam's summary of the family: This family represents a bacterial cis-regulatory element known as RtT RNA. The exact function of RtT is unknown although it is thought that it may be involved in changing the cellular response in relation to amino acid starvation. Lineage: Bacteria; Pseudomonadati; Pseudomonadota; Gammaproteobacteria; Enterobacterales; Erwiniaceae. The record is from RNAcentral. RNAcentral also lists the same sequence under 1 other name.
UUUUCGCCUGAAUAAAAGAGGAUGAGAACCUCCGGAGGCGGUUUGCGCCGGGCGAAGCGAGACAACGUUGCGAACGCAACGGCCCGAAGGGGCUUACGCAGUAAGCCUAAUCCUCUCUCGCCGACCC